AGCAUCACGUAGUUUGAUCAUGGCUACAGAACGACGCUGGCGGCAGGCUUAACACAUGCAAGUCGAACGGUUGUAGCAAUACAGCAGUGGCAGACGGGUGAGUAACACGUGGGAACCUUCCUAGGGGUACGGAACAACUCAGGGAAACUUGAGCUAAUACCGUAUACGUCCGUGAGGAGAAAGAUUUAUCGCCCUUAGACGGGCCCGCGUCGGAUUAGCUAGUUGGUAGGGUAAAGGCCUACCAAGGCGACGAUCCGUAGCGGGUCUGAGAGGAUGAUCCGCCACACUGGGACUGAGACACGGCCCAGACUCCUACGGGAGGCAGCAGUGGGGAAUCUUAGACAAUGGGCGCAAGCCUGAUCUAGCCAUGCCGCGUGAGCGAUGAAGGCCUUAGGGUUGUAAAGCUCUUUCAGUGGGGAAGAUAAUGACUGUACCCACAGAAGAAGCCCCGGCUAACUCCGUG
This 463-nucleotide ribosomal RNA is filed under the name uncultured bacterium. RNAcentral describes it as "bacterial SSU rRNA". It matches the Rfam family "Bacterial small subunit ribosomal RNA", at positions 1 to 507 of the family's 1533-position model. The record is from RNAcentral.